This 233-nucleotide long non-coding RNA is filed under the name Volvox carteri. Its description in RNAcentral is "long non-coding RNA (VCAR_LNC001028)". Lineage: Eukaryota; Viridiplantae; Chlorophyta; Chlorophyceae; Chlamydomonadales; Volvocaceae. The record is from RNAcentral.
UAACAGCUCCUUAAAGAUGAAUAAAUGAUCUUGGCCAGAUAAGUAAUAGCUAUAUUUUCUGAAAACAUCAUAUUUUCAGAUUCCUUAUAUAUUUCCCGCAUAGAAAAUUAUAUACAGUUUUUCUUUUUCUCUUCGGCAAAAUCUGGUGACUCACAUUGGCCGCAUAUCUCAGAAUGGACGAGCACAGGACCCAAACCGUAUCCAUACGGUAUCCAUACCGUGUUCAGCGAACG